This 496-nucleotide ribosomal RNA is filed under the name uncultured bacterium. Its description in RNAcentral is "partial 16S ribosomal RNA". It matches the Rfam family "Bacterial small subunit ribosomal RNA", at positions 29 to 507 of the family's 1533-position model. The record is from RNAcentral.
AUGAACGCUGGCGGCGUGCCUAAUACAUGCAAGUCGAGCGAACGGACGAGAAGCUUGCUUCUCCGAUGUUAGCGGCGGACGGGUGAGUAACACGUGGAUAACCUACCUAUAAGACUGGGAUAACUUCGGGAAACCGGAGCUAAUACCGGAUAAUAUUUUGAACCGCAUGGUUCAAAAGUGAAAGACGGUCUUGCUGUCACUUAUAGAUGGAUCCGCGCUGCAUUAGCUAGUUGGUAAGGUAACGGCUUACCAAGGCAACGAUGCAUAGCCGACCUGAGAGGGUGAUCGGCCACACUGGAACUGAGACACGGUCCAGACUCCUACGGGAGGCAGCAGUAGGGAAUCUUCCGCAAUGGGCGAAAGCCUGACGGAGCAACGCCGCGUGAGUGAUGAAGGUCUUCGGAUCGUAAAACUCUGUUAUUAGGGAAGAACAUAUGUGUAAGUAACUGUGCACAUCUUGACGGUACCUAAUCAGAAAGCCACGGCUAACUACGUG